Molecule: ribosomal RNA, 496 nt
Filed under: uncultured bacterium
Lineage: Bacteria
Description: partial 16S ribosomal RNA
Rfam family: Bacterial small subunit ribosomal RNA
Source: RNAcentral
AUGCACGCUGGCGGCGUGCCUCAUACCUGCCAGUCGAGCGAACAGAUGAGGAGCUUGCUCCUCUGACGUUAGCGGCGGACGGGUGAGUAACACGUGGAUAACCUACCUAUAAGACUGGGAUAACUUCGGGAAACCGGAGCUAAUACCGGAUAAUAUAUUGAACCGCAUGGUUCAAUAGUGAAAGACGGUUUUGCUGUCACUUAUAGAUGGAUCCGCGCCGCAUUAGCUAGUUGGUAAGGUAACGGCUUACCAAGGCAACGAUGCGUAGCCGACCUGAGAGGGUGAUCGGCCACACUGGAACUGAGACACGGUCCAGACUCCUACGGGAGGCAGCAGUAGGGAAUCUUCCGCAAUGGGCGAAAGCCUGACGGAGCAACGCCGCGUGAGUGAUGAAGGUCUUCGGAUCGUAAAACUCUGUUAUUAGGGAAGAACAAAUGUGUAAGUAACUAUGCACGUCUUGACGGUACCUAAUCAGAAAGCCACGGCUAACUACGUG